UUUUAACGCAGCAGGGCCGACGCGCAGCAGAUCGUAGACAGGCUCGAAGAGGGAACACGGUAAUACCGUGGCUGCCCCCGCAACUGUAAACAGCGAGUCUGCCGCAACCGCGCCACUGGAUUUCCGGGAAGGCCGCGGCAGAUAAAGACCUGUCAGCCAGGAGACCUGCCGACGAACGCUGGUCGCGA
This 188-nucleotide non-coding RNA is filed under the name Pseudomonas sp. 8O. Lineage: Bacteria; Pseudomonadati; Pseudomonadota; Gammaproteobacteria; Pseudomonadales; Pseudomonadaceae. The record is from RNAcentral.